This 450-nucleotide ribosomal RNA is filed under the name uncultured bacterium. RNAcentral's name for it is "bacterial SSU rRNA". It matches the Rfam family "Bacterial small subunit ribosomal RNA", at positions 355 to 825 of the family's 1533-position model. The record is from RNAcentral.
UGGGGAAUAUUGGACAAUGGGCGAAAGUCUGAUGGAGCGACGUCGCGUGAUGGACGAAGUGCUUCGGCACGUAAACAUCUUUUAUGUGGGAUGAAAUUAUUGACAGUACCACAUGAAUAAGGGGCUCCUAACUCUGUGCCAGCAGGAGCGGUAAUACAGAGGCCCCAAGCGUUAUCCGGAAUCACUGGGCGUAAAGGGUGUCGAGGCGGUUGUAUUAGUCGUUCGUAAAAUCUACGAGCUUAACUUGUAGGCGGCGAACGAAACGGUACGACUUGAGGUUUGGAGAGGUGCGUGGAACUCACGGUGUAGGGGUGAAAUCCGUUGAUAUCGUGGGGAACACCAAAGGCGAAGGCAGCGCACUGGCCAAAAUCUGACGCUCACACACGAAAGCUAGGGUAGCGAAGAGGAUUAGAUACCCAUGUAGUCCCUGAGCGGGCUGGCAAGGCGCAU